Non-coding RNA from Triticum urartu, 2740 nucleotides. Lineage: Eukaryota; Viridiplantae; Streptophyta; Magnoliopsida; Poales; Poaceae. The record is from RefSeq and is a predicted model, not a curated record.
GGCUCAUUUUUUCUUCAUGUAUCAUUAGCCCUUACAUAAGUUGCCAUUACGCAUCUGUAUUGCAGAGAUUAACCUGUGAUUCCACCAUUUAACUUAAAUCGACAAAUGACUUCCUUUUUAGCUUGUCCUCUCACCUUGCCGCCAAAGACGGCGACAAUUUGCACCUGGGUCCCUUCCACCGUUACUGACGCCACUCUGAAGGACUUUGUUAACAUUGGGUUUUUACCGGAGAAGAGCACUAUGUCUUAUCGCGCCCCUGACCCGGCCGAAGAAAAACCUCAACCUAAGGAUGGUGAAGUCAUCGUCUUUACUGAUCAUAUGAACCGGGGGUUUUCACCGCCCGGCUUAAAAUUAUUCAGAGAUGUUCUGCACUUUUUCAAGCUCCAUCCCCAAGAUCUUGGACCCAAUUCCAUAUCAAAUAUCUAUAAUUUCUAGGUUCUCUGUGAGGUUUAUCUUCAAGAAGAACCUACUUUUGAACUCUUCAGACUGUAUUUCUAUUUGAACCGCCAGAAUGAAUACACCAAUGGCCCCAGCUUGGGACAUGCUGGAAUUUCGAUUCAGCGUAGACAGGGUGCUGUCUUUCCCUUGGUAGUCUUACCAAGCCAUCCCAAGGAUUGGAACCAAACAUGGUUUUGCAAAUACACGUCGCCAGCUGACGAAAAACCAAUGCCGGGUUAUCGCGCGGAGCGCCUUGAUGCUAAGUUUUCACUCCCUGACAAGCUUACUGCCGCUGAACAUAAGAAGCUCAUCCCAACCACCAAAAGGGUGCAAGCCUUGCUGGGAAACAGCUUAACUAGUGUUGACUUGAUCCUCUGUUGGAUCACAUGGUGGAUCAUCCCUCUGAGCCACCGGUAUGACUUAAUGUAUAAUUACACCGGAGGAGCAGACGAUCCAUUGCAUUAUAGAUCUCUACGUCUGACUGAAGAAGCCAUCGUCGAAAUGUCAACUACCCUUCUAAACAACAAAUAGGAAUACUGCAGUAAAGUAGGAUUAAACCCAUUCUGCAAACUUAACCCGGCACCAGAGGUAAAUCCCCUUGAUUCCUUUUUUUCUUUAAUAGUUAAGCGCUUGCAUGAUGUUUCAACCUGUUAUUUGCCUACAGGCAAAAUCUGACUUUUGGAAGGCCAAAUAUGAUCAUAAAGCUGCUAAGAAGGCUAGAGCCGCCGCCAUGGCCGCGAAGAAGACAACCCGAAAAUCUAAGAAGAAACAAACUGCUUCUGAUAUGUUCAAGUUGGCUGAUGUUACUGAGUCGGAGGAUGACACGGGGUCUAGCUAUGCAGUAGAGGAAGAGGUAACUAUUUCCUCCAACUCAGAACCUUUGCCAAGACAGAAACCUCAACUGGUAACCCGGAAAGUAAGGUUUUCACACCCUUUAGCUUAUUUGGAUCCUCAUUUUCUUUUGAAAAAAUAGCAACACGAGAACCACCGUCACACCCGGACCAGUGAUGACAAUGAACUGCCCUCCGGCUAACCAAAAACUCCUUGGAAACGCCAGAAUGAGGAGGUCUCUCGAUCUUUUGGUUAUUCCUGUCAAACUCAAUUUACGGCUUUCAAGACUGCCCCUGGUGGUCAAGCAAAACCCAAGAAAGCCAAGGUGAUCAAACCGACUGAAAACCUGGAAACCGCUGAACCGGCACUGCCAACUCCUACCCCAGGACAACCUGAAGCACCAGAAGACCCUGCUGUCCAUGUUCAAAUAGAUCCUCCUGAGCCGUCUGUUGAUGAAACUAUUCUCAACCCAUCCACUGUUGAACCGUCAAGCUCAACUAACCUGCCGACGACUUAUAAAAGUGAUGUUUUCAUCACUGGUAGUAGAUUUGUUGAAACGGGAAAUCCGACGGUACUGGCCAGACACUCGGCCAAGCAAGAGGGUUUGGAAAAGUAGAAAGUUCGCUUCGACAUCUCUCACUAUGCUCACCUGAGCACUAGUGAUGUGCUAUCUGGCUAUCUUAGUCACGUGCAUUCUAGCUGUGACUCUGAAAUUGAGAUGGUGAAACAGCUGCAAUUGAAAUAUGAGACCGCCAUAACUAAAUUGGAUUCUGAACUGACGGAUGCCAAAACCCGGUUGGCGGCUCAAGAGACUGAGAUAAAGAAUACUGACUCCAAACUCCAGUUGAGCCUAUCUGAAGUAGAGAAACUGAAGAGCAGUUUUGAUGUAGAGAAAAAAAUCCUGGGCCGAUGAAAAAACCUUGCUGAUACAGCAUGCUGAGACAGCCGAGGCAUCUCUCAAGGAGGUUACCGCGGAACUCACCGGUUUAAAGAACCGUGUGUCUCAGAUGGUCUCUGCAAUCUUCAGUCCACGGAGCAGCAAUCUGAGCCAAAAUAGCUUGAUAAAGCUCAAGGCGGUUUACACCCUGGUGGAGCAACUGUACACUGGAGCUCAACCGGCGCUUGCCAUUAUCUCCCCAGCCAACCAAGGACCAAACCUCUUGAGUGAUGUCUUGAAGAAGUUAUCUAUCUUACCUGCCAGAUUCCAAGAGGUCAAGCGGUCUUGUGCAAGAGCGGGAGCCCUAACUACUCUAAGCCGCUCCAAAGCCUGGGUGCCGGAGCUAGACCCGGCAGAUGUAGCCAAGGGGUAUCCCAGCCUUAAGGAAGACGGGACCCCGUUUGAUCAAGAUGAUUUUUCUGCUUGUGUGAGGGGAAAUCGUCCUCAUGCUACUAUCCUUGGCGAUGAGACCAAUAUAGAUAAGUAUCAGCCGAGUUUUAAUGUUGAGAAUAAAAAGAUGGUGACUCCUUCGUA